Molecule: long non-coding RNA, 2370 nt
Filed under: Populus trichocarpa (black cottonwood)
Lineage: Eukaryota; Viridiplantae; Streptophyta; Magnoliopsida; Malpighiales; Salicaceae
Description: long non-coding RNA (PTRI_LNC000442)
Source: RNAcentral
AUACCAGCUCGCUUCCAACAACAAAUAUAAUUAACCUAAGCUGUGAUAGGUCAAAGUUUUUUUUAGUUUUCUUUUUUUUAAAAAAAGAAAAAAACAGAUCAACAAGAGAGAAGACUUGCAAAAAAGUAGAAUUACUGAAAGAAACUCAACAAAGAAUCAAACUGAAGUAAUUAAAAAUAAUAGUCUAUGAUGACCAUCUCGGUAUCACACAUUCAGGUAAUAUGAUUAACCUAUAACAAUAUUAGAAAAAAAAAAGUUAAUAGAUGGUCGCCACGUGUUCAACUUUAUCUACCCUUAGGAAAGGAUAGAAAGCGGGAGAGAGAGAGGUUAAAAGGCUUUUAAAAAAAAGAAAAGGAAAGACAGAAAUAAAAGAAAGGUUGAGACAAGAGAGGGACAAGGAAAUAGAAGGAGAAGUUUGUAAUAUAACCAUUUUAAUUUAAUAUUUUAAGAGAUUUCAGAAUAUGAUUUAUAUUAUUUUCUAAUACACCCUCUCAAGUGUUCUUUGGACUUUAAACUUGAACAGACCCACAUUACCCUGUGUUUAAUUUUUAUCAAAUAAAUAGGGAUGGUGAGAUUCGAACUCGUGAUCGUUUGGUCAUUAAAGCUCUGAUACUAUGUCAAAAAAUUAUCUCCACCUAAUAGCUUAAACUGUUUGGUGAGGUCCCAUGAUAUGAUUUAUAUUAUUCUCUAAUAAGGUUGAGGGAGGCAAAAAUAGAAGAAGACAUUGAAAGAUCGGAGGAGAGUAAAGAAAACAAUAUAAAUAUGUGAUGCUCGUUUAUCUAUUUGAUUGGGAUUUUUUUGUGUCUCUUUUAUUUGGAAUUCUUUGGACAUUUUAAUAAUAUAAUAACAAAAAAAUAUUAAAAUUAUUUUUAUUUUUUCAUGCUCUUAUAAGUAAUGUAGAAGAUGAGGACCUGAAAUCACGACAGCAAAUAAGAAGAGAAAUAACGUGUUUGUUUUUUUUAAAAAAAGAUAUCUUUAAAAAAAUUAAAUUUUAUUUUUACUUGAAAUUAAUUUUUAAAAAGCUAGUUUGAAAAUUAAUAUGAAAAAAAAGGAUAAUAGAGUAGUUGUCCAAAUCAAAACACAUUAACAUAGGACAAAAACAGGGAGAGAGGCUAUUUGUUUUUUUAACUGUAUUGGUUUAAUAAGGUUUAUAUAGUAUUUUAUAAAUAUUUUGGAUAAAAAUUUUAAAGGGUUCUAAAUUAUCUCUGUUACCUUCCCUUAAUUUUCUAGGCAAGUAAAAGGAGCUAAACUUAUUCCCGACCAAAACGUCAAGAAUUUCAGUGGAACAAAAAAAGAGAUCAUUACUUGACCAAAAACAACUAGUCAGCACCCAAAGAAACCGAGUGAAUGAGAGAAAAUUAAGGACUCAUAGCUAGAAAACAAUCAACAGAUCCAAGAAUUUUCUGUAUGGUUUCCAAGAAAAUGAAACGAAAUGAGCAGCACAACCCUCUUUCUCCUCCAAGAAAAGAAAGAAAAAGAAAGGAAAGAAACAAAGAUAGAAAGUCAAACUUGGCUCCUCUUUUAGUGUUAAAAAAAAAAAACAAAGAAGUUCGAGGAAGUGGGCAGCCUUUUUUCUGCUGUUCAUGUGGUGUUCUGCUGUUCACGCAGACUAAGAACUCCUACCAUCGUAAAAUCAUAUAAUUAAAACACAACAAUAAAAAAGUAAUAAGCAGCUAAUUAUGUGCCAAAAUCAGAGAAACAAGGAUACAGAACGUGAGAGUGAGUCAUUGCAAGUAAAAGAGGCGCAGAGAGAAUGGGAAUAGGAAUUUCAUUACCUUAAACUUGAGAAAAUAUGUGCGAAAAGCACUGGUACUGAUUGCUCAAUGAAAUGGAGAAGGCCUUUAGCUCUGUAUGGAAUCCAGCUUCAAAAGCAACAACGCAAGGGAUAAGCAUUUUGAUGACAUACUUAAGAUACUAUGCGUAAUAAUAUAGAGACAGUGACAAAGAAAUAAAGAAAAAUAAUAUGUACUCACCUAGCAAAGAAAGAAACGAAUGAAAGGUUCAGGAUAAUCACUUGGACGCCUCCAUGGAUGAUACCAGCUCGCUUCCAACAACAAAUAUAAUUAACCUAAGCUAUGAUCGGUCAAAGUUUUUUUUAGUUUUCUUCUUUUUUAAAAAAAAAAAACAGAUCAUCAAGGGAAAAGACUUGCAAAGAAGUAGAAUCAAUGGAACGAACACAACAAAGGAUCAAACUCAAGCAAUUAAAAGUAAUUGUCUAUGAGUACCAUCUGUGUCACACACUCAAGUGAGGAGAGAAAAGAAGGAGACAGAAAGGAAAGGGACAAAGAAGGAAGAAAGUAAGGUCACGUAGGGGCCAGCCUUGUAGAAAGAAGAGAUUAUUACGUGGCAAGUGCCGAGUGCCAAGUGACA